AGAGGCCGGAUACCUGCGACAGGAAGGAAAGACCCAAUGGAGCUUUAGGGGAGCUUGNCAUUGGGGCUUGGUAUUUCUUUUACAGGAUAGGUGGGAGGCGUUGAAACCAGGACGCCAGUUUUGGCGGAGCCAUCCUUGGGAUACCACCCUUGUAGUACUGGGACGCUAACCAUAGGCCAUGAAUCUGGUCUUGGGGCACUGUCAGGUGGGCAGUGUGACUGGGGCGGUCGCCUCCCAAACGGUAACGGAGGCGCUCAAAGGUUCUCGCAGUACGGUCGGAAAUCGUACGUAGGGUGUAAAGGCAAAAGAGAGCUUGCUGUCCAGCCAUCCAGGUCGAUCCAGGAGGAAACACGGACUUAGUUAUCCGGUCGGUCUGCGUGAAAGGGCCAUCGCUCACUCCACGGGUCCACCUCGACGGGGAACAGGCUUAUAUCCCCCAAGAGUCCACAUCGACGGGGCGGUUUGGCAGUGUGCGUUCGCCUCAUCCCACUCUGGG
RNAcentral lists this ribosomal RNA (496 nucleotides) under Clostridioides difficile. Its description in RNAcentral is "bacterial LSU rRNA". It matches the Rfam family "Bacterial large subunit ribosomal RNA", at positions 2057 to 2551 of the family's 2925-position model. Lineage: Bacteria; Bacillati; Bacillota; Clostridia; Peptostreptococcales; Peptostreptococcaceae. The record is from RNAcentral.